Molecule: ribosomal RNA, 710 nt
Filed under: Faecalibacterium prausnitzii
Lineage: Bacteria; Bacillati; Bacillota; Clostridia; Eubacteriales; Oscillospiraceae
Description: bacterial SSU rRNA
Rfam family: Bacterial small subunit ribosomal RNA
Source: RNAcentral
UAAACUCCUGUUGUUGAGGAAGAUAAUGACGGUACUCAACAAGGAAGUGACGGCUAACUACGUGCCAGCAGCCGCGGUAAAACGUAGGUCACAAGCGUUGUCCGGAAUUACUGGGUGUAAAGGGAGCGCAGGCGGGAAGACAAGUUGGAAGUGAAAUCUAUGGGCUCAACCCAUAAACUGCUUUCAAAACUGUUUUUCUUGAGUAGUGCAGAGGUAGGCGGAAUUCCCGGUGUAGCGGUGGAAUGCGUAGAUAUCGGGAGGAACACCAGUGGCGAAGGCGGCCUACUGGGCACCAACUGACGCUGAGGCUCGAAAGUGUGGGUAGCAAACAGGAUUAGAUACCCUGGUAGUCCACACCGUAAACGAUGAUUACUAGGUGUUGGAGGAUUGACCCCUUCAGUGCCGCAGUUAACACAAUAAGUAAUCCACCUGGGGAGUACGACCGCAAGGUUGAAACUCAAAGGAAUUGACGGGGGCCCGCACAAGCAGUGGAGUAUGUGGUUUAAUUCGACGCAACGCGAAGAACCUUACCAAGUCUUGACAUCCCUUGACGAACAUAGAAAUAUGUUUUCUCUUCGGAGCAAGGAGACAGGUGGUGCAUGGUUGUCGUCAGCUCGUGUCGUGAGAUGUUGGGUUAAGUCCCGCAACGAGCGCAACCCUUAUGGUCAGUUACUACGCAAGAGGACUCUGGCCAGACUGCGUUUGACAAA